AGCGAACGCUGGCGGCAGGCCUAAUACAUGCAAGUCGAACGGAUCCUUCGGGAUUAGUGGCGGACGGGUGAGUAACACGUGGGAACGUGCCCUUUGGUUCGGAACAACUCAGGGAAACUUGAGCUAAUACCGGAUAAGCCCUUCGGGGAAGGAUUAUCGCCAUUGGAGCGGCCCGCGUCUGAUUAGCUAGUUGGUGGGGUAAAGGCCUACCAAGGCGACGAUCAGUAGCUGGUCUGAGAGGAUGAUCAGCCACACUGGGACUGAGACACGGCCCAGACUCCUACGGGAGGCAGCAGUAGGGAAUCUUGCGCAAUGGGCGAAAGCCUGACGCAGCCAUGCCGCGUGAAUGAUGAAGGUCUUAGGAUUGUAAAAUUCUUUCAGCGGGGACGAUAAUGACGGUACCCGCAGAAGAAGCCCCGGCUAACUUCGUGCCAG
This 435-nucleotide ribosomal RNA is filed under the name uncultured bacterium. RNAcentral describes it as "bacterial SSU rRNA". It matches the Rfam family "Bacterial small subunit ribosomal RNA", at positions 29 to 511 of the family's 1533-position model. The record is from RNAcentral.